Rhinopithecus roxellana (golden snub-nosed monkey) is the source of this 811-nucleotide long non-coding RNA. RefSeq lists it as uncharacterized. NCBI's taxonomy places the organism in Eukaryota, Metazoa, Chordata, Mammalia, Primates, Cercopithecidae. The transcript is spliced from 4 exons. The record is from RefSeq and is a predicted model, not a curated record.
AGAACUGCAGAUAGUACAGCUUCCACAGGAGCAAGGGAUGUCUGAGCACAAGUGGCUGAGUUCCGAGUGACUUUAUGAAGCACUUUCUACCUUCCUCUCCGGCAUGAAAACAGGGAUUCUGCACCUGCAUCAUGGACAGUCUGGCAAAAGCCUCUGCUCUGCCUCGGGGGACAAGAAACUACAGCAAAUAACCGUUUUGAAAUUAGAUCCUGGCAACAUUACCAACAAUCAAUGAUGGAAACUGAAGGCAGAUUGAUUUAAAUCUUCAAUGGCAGUUGUACAGAAGUUGAAGAAACAUGUCAUGUUUCCAAAGAAAAUAUUUAUUACUCACAGUUCUGUAGUUUUAACCAGAACAAAGGGAUUAUCCAGAAGAAAAGAAGUGAACAAAACAAGACCCUACUAUGAUGAUUCUACACGGACCUGAUUUUAACCGAAGAGUAGCCUUCACAAUUCCAUAAAUGUUGGCUUUAUCCAUGUAUUAAAGCACGGAUUUCUUGGGAGACGACAAAUAUUGAGAGUGAACGAUAAAAUCUGAAAAGAACCUGGGAAAUCAUCAUUAAAUUGAGCUGAUAAUCAUGAUAAUCGUGUCUCAAAUAUGGACUGUCAACUUUUUUUUAACUAAUGAUGGGAUGGUAGAGAAGCUAUUAACUUAAUACGCCUCAGUGUGUGUGUGUGCUUGCGCGCGCAUGUGUUUGUUUUGGUGGAAAUAAAUUAAUAAGAAAGGGAAAAAUAACAGUCACAUGGAAGCUUAGGAGGCAAGUUAAUAAAAGAGAAAUAUUCGGGUAGUAUGAAAUCUUAAGCUUUACACAAU